CAGUCGCCGCGGUAAUACGAGGGGAGCAAGCGUUGUUCGGAAUUAUUGGGCGUAAAGGGUGCGUAGGCGGCUUGACAAGUCUUGUGUGGAAUCUAUGGGCUCAACCCAUAGUCUGCACGGGAAACUGUCGGGCUUGAGAAUGGGAGGGGUGAGUGGAAUUUCCGGUGUAGCGGUGAAAUGCGUAGAUAUCGGAAGGAACACCUGUGGCGAAAGCGGCUCACUGGACAAUAACUGACGCUGAGGCACGAAAGCUAGGGGAGCAAACAGGAUUAGAUACCCCUGUAGUCCCUGUCUCUUAUAC
RNAcentral lists this ribosomal RNA (301 nucleotides) under uncultured bacterium. RNAcentral describes it as "partial 16S ribosomal RNA". It matches the Rfam family "Bacterial small subunit ribosomal RNA", at positions 509 to 807 of the family's 1533-position model. The record is from RNAcentral.